CACACAUGCCUCACAUAUUAAUGACCGUGGAAAUGAAAUGGCCAUAGAAUAUCUGCUUUACUCCUUCAGAAGUCAUAUGCAUAUGUUACUUCUCCACAAGCCUUGGAUCAUCUUAACUUGUCAAGCAAUGACUGUGUGCCAGCAACAUGUUGUAAACUUGCAAACAUAAGUAAGCAAUUUCUGGUGGCAGGCCUUCUUGGAAUAUAGGUAUUAUUCAAAGCCAUAAGUGAAAGAAAUUUGGAAAUCUACUCUCCAAUUUCACCCCAUCCCUUAAAAAAAUCAAGCAGAAGGUGGAGGGCCUUAGAAGAAAGAACGAAUGGAGUGUUGGGCGACCUGAGUGGCUCAGCAGUUCAGCGCCGCCUUCAGCCCAGGGCCUGAUCCUGGAGACCAGGGAUCGAGUCCCAUGUCGGGCUCCCUGCAUGGAGCCUGCUUCUCCCUCUGCCUGU
This is a long non-coding RNA of Canis lupus familiaris (dog), 446 nucleotides long. RefSeq lists it as uncharacterized. NCBI's taxonomy places the organism in Eukaryota, Metazoa, Chordata, Mammalia, Carnivora, Canidae. The record is from RefSeq and is a predicted model, not a curated record. The transcript has 3 exons.